Molecule: ribosomal RNA, 371 nt
Filed under: uncultured bacterium
Lineage: Bacteria
Description: bacterial SSU rRNA
Rfam family: Bacterial small subunit ribosomal RNA
Source: RNAcentral
GGAGGGUGCGAGCGUUGUUCGGAAUCACUGGGCGUAAAGGGCGUGUAGGCGGUCCGCUAAGUCUGAUGUGAAAGCCCGGGGCUCACCCCCGGAAGGGCAUUGGAAACUGACGGACUCGAGUCCCGAAGAGGAGGGUGGAAUUCCUGGUGUAGCGGUGAAAUGCGUAGAUAUCAGGAGGAACACCGGUGGCGAAGGCGGCCCUCUGGACGGUGACUGACGCUGAGACGCGAAAGCGUGGGGAGCAAACAGGAUUAGAUACCCUGGUAGUCCACGCUGUAAACGAUGAGCACUAGGUGUCGUGGGUAUUGACCCCCGCGGUGCCGUAGCUAACGCAUUAAGUGCUCCGCCUGGGGACUACGGCCGCAAGGUUA